Molecule: long non-coding RNA, 772 nt
Filed under: Pan troglodytes (chimpanzee)
Lineage: Eukaryota; Metazoa; Chordata; Mammalia; Primates; Hominidae
Description: lncRNA (ENSPTRG00000053698.1)
Source: RNAcentral
CAUUUCCCACUUAGGCUGCUAUUUCCAGGGAAUGAUUAUUUGAUUGUAACAUUUGUUCCAGGCAGCAACGGGCCAAGGAGAGGUCUUAGCUCAAAAGCACCUUCCACCUACUUAAAAGCAACAGCCACCACAGCGUACUCAAUUUAAAAUGAUGGAAAUCAACAACAAAAACCUCAGAUAUUUUGAGUUCUGGAGGACAGAAAGGGUUGUUUUGACAAUGGCGUGAAGUUUAUGACUGCGGGUCAUCAAGAGUUCAUUGUCUGGCAUUCUGGCAUGGGCAUGAUUGAAGGAGCUGCCAAAACAUCACUGAGCACAAAUGUGAGCCAGGUGCCUCCUCUGGGGAGGACCGUUUUGUAGGUGUUGCCUCCUCCUUGCCUUUUCUCUUCCUCUCCUGUCUCCUCUCUUCACAGCUGGAAGAUGGAAUAAGUGGAGACAGGAGGUCUCAAUCAGCUCUCUCCUUUUUGGGAGUUUGCACACUGAGGAGAGCAGGGUUGGCAGCAGCAAGAGAGAGAAAGCCUGAUCAAGACCAAGGUAAAGAAAUCAAAAGUUGGUGCCUCCACAUUGUCUUGCCCAUCCUACCUGUUGAAGUGUCCCUGGACCACAGGGUGGCAGAACGUCUCAUCCUGAAAAUGUUUGCUGACCUCUGACAGAUGAUAAGUGGUGGAAUCAGGAGUGAAAUAAUGCACCUGUCUAUGGAUGCCUCAAUCUAGGGUUACAUCAGGAACAUGCCUUCUCUAAAUGAAAAAAGCAAUGGUGGCAGCAGACAGCAAAA